This 774-nucleotide ribosomal RNA is filed under the name Lactiplantibacillus plantarum. Its description in RNAcentral is "bacterial SSU rRNA". It matches the Rfam family "Bacterial small subunit ribosomal RNA", at positions 60 to 795 of the family's 1533-position model. The record is from RNAcentral. Lineage: Bacteria; Bacillati; Bacillota; Bacilli; Lactobacillales; Lactobacillaceae.
AGUCGAACGAACUCUGGUAUUGAUUGGUGCUUGCAUCAUGAUUUACAUUUGAGUGAGUGGCGAACUGGUGAGUAACACGUGGGAAACCUGCCCAGAAGCGGGGGAUAACACCUGGAAACAGAUGCUAAUACCGCAUAACAACUUGGACCGCAUGGUCCGAGUUUGAAAGAUGGCUUCGGCUAUCACUUUUGGAUGGUCCCGCGGCGUAUUAGCUAGAUGGUGGGGUAACGGCUCACCAUGGCAAUGAUACGUAGCCGACCUGAGAGGGUAAUCGGCCACAUUGGGACUGAGACACGGCCCAAACUCCUACGGGAGGCAGCAGUAGGGAAUCUUCCACAAUGGACGAAAGUCUGAUGGAGCAACGCCGCGUGAGUGAAGAAGGGUUUCGGCUCGUAAAACUCUGUUGUUAAAGAAGAACAUAUCUGAGAGUAACUGUUCAGGUAUUGACGGUAUUUAACCAGAAAGCCACGGCUAACUACGUGCCAGCAGCCGCGGUAAUACGUAGGUGGCAAGCGUUGUCCGGAUUUAUUGGGCGUAAAGCGAGCGCAGGCGGUUUUUUAAGUCUGAUGUGAAAGCCUUCGGCUCAACCGAAGAAGUGCAUCGGAAACUGGGAAACUUGAGUGCAGAAGAGGACAGUGGAACUCCAUGUGUAGCGGUGAAAUGCGUAGAUAUAUGGAAGAACACCAGUGGCGAAGGCGGCUGUCUGGUCUGUUAACUGACGCUGAGGCUCGAAAAGUAUGGGUAGCAAACAGGAUUAGAUACCCUGGGUUAGUC